AUUGAACGCUGGCGGCAUGCCUUACACAUGCAAGUCGAACGGUAACAGGUUAAGCUGACGAGUGGCGAACGGGUGAGUAAUGUAUCGGAACGUGCCCAGUCGUGGGGGAUAACUGCUCGAAAGAGCAGCUAAUACCGCAUACGACCUGAGGGAGAAAGCGGGGGAUCGCAAGACCUCGCGCAAUUGGAGAGGCCGAUAUCAGAUUAGGUAGUUGGUGAGGUAAAGGCUCACCAAGCCGACGAGCUGUAGCUGGUCUGAGAGGACGACCAGCCACACUGGGACUGAGACACGGCCCAGACUCCUACGGGAGGCAGCAGUGGGGAAUUUUGGACAAAGGGCGCAAGCCUGAUCCAGCCAUGCCGCGUGCGGGAAGAAGGCCUUCGGGUUGUAAACCGCUUUUGUCAGGGAAGAAAAGGUUCUGGCUAAUACCUGGGACUCGUGACGGUACCUGAAGAAUAAGCACCGGCUAACUACGUG
This 477-nucleotide ribosomal RNA is filed under the name uncultured bacterium. Its description in RNAcentral is "partial 16S ribosomal RNA". It matches the Rfam family "Bacterial small subunit ribosomal RNA", at positions 29 to 507 of the family's 1533-position model. The record is from RNAcentral.